GUGCCUUAAAUUUAGGAGUAAGGAAAGUAACAACUCGGGAUGAUGGCCGUGUUCUCACUGUGAAUGUGAGAGGAAUGCAUUCACUGCUUCCCGUGGGCAG
This 100-nucleotide small nuclear RNA is filed under the name Lepidothrix coronata (blue-crowned manakin). RNAcentral's name for it is "U12 minor spliceosomal RNA (ENSLCOG00000015850.1)". It matches the Rfam family "U12 minor spliceosomal RNA". From Rfam's summary of the family: Although the U12 sequence is very divergent from that of U2, the two are functionally analogous. Lineage: Eukaryota; Metazoa; Chordata; Aves; Passeriformes; Pipridae. The record is from Rfam by way of RNAcentral.